RNAcentral lists this ribosomal RNA (108 nucleotides) under uncultured Gammaproteobacteria bacterium. RNAcentral describes it as "partial 16S ribosomal RNA". The record is from RNAcentral. Lineage: Bacteria; Pseudomonadati; Pseudomonadota; Gammaproteobacteria.
UGCCGCGUGUGUGAGAAGGCCUUAGGGUUGUAAAGCUCUUUUUUAGGGAAGAAAAGCUGGGACGUGUACCGAGUUUGACGGGACUGUAACAAUAAAGAACGGCCAACU